CCUACGGGUGGCAGCAGUGGGGAAUAUUGCACAAUGGGGGAAACCCUGAUGCAGCGACGCCGCGUGAAGGAAGAAGUAUUUCGGUAUUUAAACUUCUAUCAGCAGGGAAGAAAAUGACGGUACCUGACUAAGAAGCCACGGCUAACUACGUGCCAGCAGCCGCGGUAAUACGUAGGGGGCAAGCGUUAUCCGGAUUUACUGGGUGUAAAGGGAGCGUAGGCGGUUCAGCAAGUCAGAAGUGAAAGCUCGGGGCUCAACCCCGGGACUGCUUUUGAAACUGUUGAACUAGAGUGCAGGAGAGGUAAGUGGAAUUCGUAGUGUAGCGGUGAAAUGCGUAGAUAUUAGGAGGAACACCAGUGGCGAAGGCGGCUUACUGGACUGUAAAUGACGCUGAGGCUCGAAAGCGUGGGGAGCAAACAGGAUUAGAUACCCCUGUAGUC
This 440-nucleotide ribosomal RNA is filed under the name uncultured bacterium. RNAcentral describes it as "partial 16S ribosomal RNA". It matches the Rfam family "Bacterial small subunit ribosomal RNA", at positions 338 to 795 of the family's 1533-position model. The record is from RNAcentral.